UGGCGUGUAGCUCAGUAGGUAGUAGCAACUGACUGUUAAUCAGUAGGUCACUGGUUCGAGCCCAGUCACGCCAGCCA
Molecule: transfer RNA, 77 nt
Filed under: compost metagenome
Description: tRNA-Asn
Rfam family: tRNA
About the family: Transfer RNA (tRNA) molecules are approximately 80 nucleotides in length. Their secondary structure includes four short double-helical elements and three loops (D, anti-codon, and T loops).
Source: RNAcentral